RNAcentral lists this ribosomal RNA (433 nucleotides) under uncultured bacterium. Its description in RNAcentral is "partial 16S ribosomal RNA". It matches the Rfam family "Bacterial small subunit ribosomal RNA", at positions 29 to 507 of the family's 1533-position model. The record is from RNAcentral.
AACGAACGCUGGCGGCAUGCCUAACACAUGCAAGUCGAACGAGACCUUCGGGUCUAGUGGCGCACGGGUGCGUAACGCGUGGGAACCUGCCCUUAGGUUCGGAAUAACUCCCCGAAAGGGGUGCUAAUACCGGACAAUGUCUUCGGACCAAAGAUUUAUCGCCUUUGGAUGGGCCCGCGUUGGAUUAGCUAGUUGGUAGGGUAAAAGCCUACCAAGGCGACGAUCCAUAGCUGGUCUGAGAGGAUGAUCAGCCACACUGGGACUGAGACACGGCCCAGACUCCUACGGGAAGCAGCAGUGGGGAAUAUUGGACAAUGGGCGAAAGCCUGAUCCAGCAAUGCCGCGUGAGUGAUGAAGGCCUUAGGGUUGUAAAGCUCUUUUACCCGGGAUGAUAAUGACAGUACCGGGAGAAUAAGCUCCGGCUAACUCCGUG